CGAACGCUGGCGGCGUGCUUAACACAUGCAAGUCGAACGCGAAAGGGACUUCGGUCCUGAGUAAAGUGGCGCACGGGCGAGUAACGCGUAGAUAACCUGUCUUCAUGUCUGGAAUAAUACGCCGAAAGGGGUACUAAUACCGGAUAUUCUUGCUUUUCAUAAGUUAUGCAAGCAAAGGUGGCCUCUGCAUAUGCUACUGCAUGAAGAGGGGUCUGCGUACCAUUAGCUAGUAGGUGGGGUAAUGGCCUACCUAGGCGACGAUGGUUAGCGGGUCUGAGAGGAUGAUCCGCCACACUGGCACUGGAACACGGGCCAGACUCCUACGGGAGGCAGCAGUGAGGAAUAUUGCGCAAUGGGGGAAACCCUGACGCAGCGACGCCGCGUGAGUGAGGAAAGGCCUUCGGGUCGUAAAGCUCUGUCAAGAGGAAAGAAGUGUACAAUGGCUAAUACCUGUUGUAUUUGACGGUACCUCUAAAGGAAGCACCGGCUAACUCCGUGCCAGCAGCAGC
Molecule: ribosomal RNA, 509 nt
Filed under: uncultured bacterium
Lineage: Bacteria
Description: bacterial SSU rRNA
Rfam family: Bacterial small subunit ribosomal RNA
Source: RNAcentral